RNAcentral lists this small RNA (342 nucleotides) under Arabidopsis thaliana (thale cress). Its description in RNAcentral is "ATSL003340". The record is from RNAcentral. Lineage: Eukaryota; Viridiplantae; Streptophyta; Magnoliopsida; Brassicales; Brassicaceae.
AAAAACAGGUUUUACAAAUUUUGAUAACCUAAACCAUUUGAACUCUUUGGCAAAAAGAAAUAAAAAACAAAGAGUCAAUCGAAAACUGGGAAAAAACUUGGAAGUUUCAUCACAGUCACAACGCCAUUAACUUGCGAAAAGGGCGUCUGUUUCUUCUUGAGAUGAUAACGUUUUUUAUUUCGCGGUCGAUGCACUUGAAAAUAGAAGGCGGAGAGAGUGAAGUAGCGUUAUGCAGGACAUUGUUUCGCUGCUUCCAGAUGUGGAAGACCGUAGACUGAACGACGAUGUUUCUAAGAACCGAUGGAGCGGUUGUUUUUUUAUGAUGUGACUCUCCAUUUUUAU